AGUGAACGCUGGCGGUAGGCCUAACACAUGCAAGUCGAACGGCAGCACAGUAAGAGCUUGCUCUUACGGGUGGCGAGUGGCGGACGGGUGAGGAAUACAUCGGAAUCUACUUUUUCGUGGGGGAUAACGUAGGGAAACUUACGCUAAUACCGCAUACGACCUACGGGUGAAAGCAGGGGAUCUUCGGACCUUGCGCGAUUGAAUGAGCCGAUGUCGGAUUAGCUAGUUGGCGGGGUAAAGGCCUACCAAGGCGACGAUCCGUAGCUGGUCUGAGAGGAUGAUCAGCCACACUGGAACUGAGACACGGUCCAGACUCCUACGGGAGGCAGCAGUGGGGAAUAUUGGACAAUGGGCGCAAGCCUGAUCCAGCCAUACCGCGUGGGUGAAGAAGGCCUUCGGGUUGUAAAGCCCUUUUGUUGGGAAAGAAAAGCAGCAGGUUAAUACCCCGCUGUUCCGACGGUACCCAAAGAAUAAGCACCGGCUAACUUCGUG
RNAcentral lists this ribosomal RNA (492 nucleotides) under uncultured bacterium. RNAcentral describes it as "partial 16S ribosomal RNA". It matches the Rfam family "Bacterial small subunit ribosomal RNA", at positions 29 to 507 of the family's 1533-position model. The record is from RNAcentral.